RNAcentral lists this ribosomal RNA (1345 nucleotides) under uncultured bacterium. Its description in RNAcentral is "bacterial SSU rRNA". It matches the Rfam family "Bacterial small subunit ribosomal RNA", at positions 28 to 1381 of the family's 1533-position model. The record is from RNAcentral.
GAUGAACGCUAGCGGGAGGCCUAACACAUGCAAGCCGAGCGGUAUUGUUUCUUCGGAAAUGAGAGAGCGGCGUACGGGUGCGGAACACGUGUGCAACCUGCCUUUAUCUGGGGGAUAGCCUUUCGAAAGGAAGAUUAAUACUCCAUAAUAUAUUGAUUGGCAUCAAUUAAUAUUGAAAGCUCCGGCGGAUAGAGAUGGGCACGCGCAAGAUUAGCUAGUUGGUGAGGUAACGGCUCACCAAGGCGAUGAUCUUUAGGGGGCCUGAGAGGGUGAUCCCCCACACUGGUACUGAGACACGGACCAGACUCCUACGGGAGGCAGCAGUGAGGAAUAUUGGUCAAUGGGUGCAAGCCUGAACCAGCCAUCCCGCGUGAAGGACGACUGCCCUAUGGGUUGUAAACUUCUUUUGUAUAGGGAUAAACCUACCCUCGUGAGGGUAGCUGAAGGUACUAUACGAAUAAGCACCGGCUAACUCCGUGCCAGCAGCCGCGGUAAUACUGAGGGUGCAAGCGUUAUCCGGAUUUAUUGGGUUUAAAGGGUCCGUAGGCGGACUUAUAAGUCAGUGGUGAAAGCCUGUCGCUUAACGAUAGAACUGCCAUUGAUACUGUAAGUCUUGAGUAUAUUUGAGGUAGCUGGAAUAAGUAGUGUAGCGGUGAAAUGCAUAGAUAUUACUUAGAACACCAAUUGCGAAGGCAGGUUACCAAGAUAUAACUGACGCUGAGGGACGAAAGCGUGGGGAGCGAACAGGAUUAGAUACCCUGGUAGUCCACGCCGUAAACGAUGCUAACUCGUUUUUGGGCUUUAGGGUUCAGAGACCAAGCGAAAGUGAUAAGUUAGCCACCUGGGGAGUACGCUCGCAGGAGUGAAACUCAAAGGAAUUGACGGGGGCCCGCACAAGCGGUGGAUUAUGUGGUUUAAUUCGAUGAUACGCGAGGAACCUUACCAAGACUUAAAUGGGAAUUGACAGCUUUAGAAAUAGAGCUUUCUUCGGACAAUUUUCAAGGUGCUGCAUGGUUGUCGUCAGCUCGUGCCGUGAGGUGUUAGGUUAAGUCCUGCAACGAGCGCAACCCCUGUCACUAGUUGCCAUCAUUCAGUUGGGGACUCUAGUGAGACUGCCUACGCAAGUAGAGAGGAAGGCGGGGAUGACGUCAAAUCAUCACGGCCCUUACGUCUUGGGCCACACACGUAAUACAAUGGCCGGUACAGAGGGCAGCUACACAGCGAUGUGAUGCAAAUCUCGAAAGCCGGUCUCAGUUCGGAUUGGAGUCUGCAACUCGACUCUAUGAAGCUGGAAUCGCUAGUAAUCGCGCAUCAGCCAUGGCGCGGUGAAUACGUUCCCGGGCCU